Arvicanthis niloticus (Nile rat) is the source of this 1235-nucleotide non-coding RNA. NCBI's taxonomy places the organism in Eukaryota, Metazoa, Chordata, Mammalia, Rodentia, Muridae. The record is from RefSeq and is a predicted model, not a curated record.
AUGGCUGCGGGACCGAUCUCCGGAUGGAAUCAGGAUGCCACGGUGUACGUGGGAGGUCUAGAGGAGAAAGUGAGUGGGCCACUGCUGUGGGAGCUCUUUCUCCAGGCAGGGCCAGUGGUUAACACCCACAUGCCGAAGGAUAGAGUCAUUGGCCAGCACCAAGGCUAUGGCUUUGUUGAAUUCCUGAGUGAGGAAGAUGCUGACUAUGCCAUUAAGAUUAUGAACAUGAUCAAACUCUAUGGGAAGCCAAUACGAGUGAACAAGGCCUCAGCUCACAACAAAAACCUGGAUGUAGGAGACAACAUUUUCAUUGGAAAUCUGGACCCAGAAAUGGAUGAAAAGCUCUUUACGAUACUUUCAGCGCUUUUGGAAUCAUCUUACAGACCCCCAAGUUUAUGCGGGACCCUGACACAGGCAACUCCAAGGGUUAUGCCUUCAUUAAUUUUGCCUCAUCUCAUGCUUCAGAUGCAGCAAUUGAGGCCAUGAAUGGGUAGUACCGGUGUAACCGCCCUAUUGCUGUGUCUUAAGCCUUCAAGGACUCUAAGGGUGAACACCAUGGCUCAGCACCUGAACGACUCCAGAACCCACUGUCCCAGGCUGACUGCCCUCAUGAGCUGUUUGCCGAUGCACCCCCUCUGCCCUCUGCCCCUAAUCCUGUGGUUUCAUCCCGGGAUUCUGGGCUUCCUCCACCAGGCAUGCCACCUCCUGGAGCCCUCCCUCCUGGGAUACCCCCAGCUAUGCCUCCACCACCUAUGCCACCUGGGGCUGGAGGACAUGGCCCCCAGCAGCAGGAACUCCAAGGGCUGGACAUCCUGGUCUUGGGCAUUCACAUCCUCACCCCUUCCCACCAGGUGGGAUGCCCCAUCCAGGGAUGUCCCAGAUGCAGCUGGCCCACCAUGGCCCCCAUGGCCUAGGACACCCCCAUGCUGGGCCUCCAGGCUCGGGGGCGGGGGGAGGAGCCACCACCUCGGCCACCUCCUGGAGUGCCUCAUCCUGGACUUCCUCCGAUGGGCAUGUCCCCUGAGGGCCUCCUCUCAGAUCUCCCAUGAGUCACCCAGGUCCCAUGCCUCCUCAUGGUAUGCGUGGGCCUCCUCCUUUCAUGCCGCCUCAUGGAUACAUCGGUCCUUCAAGAUCCCCUCCGUAUGGCUACCAGCGGGGCCCCUCCCUCUACCGAGACCCACUCCACGGCCCCCGUUCCACCUCAUGGUCCGCUUGGGGGCCCACUUCCUCAGUAA